UUGAGCGUGCAAAAGUGAAAGAGUUAGAAAGAUACAGAGGAGACUAGCAUGGCCCCGGAGCAAGGAUGACACCCACACUGGUGAAGCAGUCCAUAUUUUU
This 100-nucleotide small nuclear RNA is filed under the name Phocoena sinus (vaquita). The record is from RNAcentral. Lineage: Eukaryota; Metazoa; Chordata; Mammalia; Artiodactyla; Phocoenidae.